Molecule: ribosomal RNA, 253 nt
Filed under: uncultured bacterium
Lineage: Bacteria
Description: partial 16S ribosomal RNA
Rfam family: Bacterial small subunit ribosomal RNA
Source: RNAcentral
UACGUAGGCAGCAAGCGUUGUUCGGAGUUACUGGGCGUAAAGGGUGUGUAGGCGGUUGUUUAAGUUUGGUGUGAAAUCUCCCGGCUCAACUGGGAGGGUGCGCCGAAUACUGAAUGACUAGAGUGCGGGAGAGGAAAGCGGAAUUCCUGGUGUAGCGGUGAAAUGCGUAGAUAUCAGGAGGAACACCGGCGGUGUAGACGGCUCUCUGGACCGUAACUGACGCUGAGAUACGAAAGCGUGGGUAGCAAACAGG